Molecule: long non-coding RNA, 553 nt
Filed under: Mytilus galloprovincialis (Mediterranean mussel)
Lineage: Eukaryota; Metazoa; Mollusca; Bivalvia; Mytilida; Mytilidae
Source: RNAcentral
AAAUGUAGAAUAGUUUAAGUUGAAUUUUAUUUUAUUUCUGAACUGUUAUUGUAUUUUGUUUUCACAACUCUUUCACACUUUUCAAAAUGUAAAAUGAUAAUGACAUUUUUAAAUGUUUAUUUUUCUGUUAAAUUAUGUCGGUUUCAAAUGUUUUCAAUUAUCUUAAAGCUGCUUAAACUGUAAAGAAUCACAUUACAGAAGAAAUAAAGAUGCAAUUAUGUUUGUUUAUGAGUAAAUUAUAAAAGUCUAUUUUAGACAGUAUAUCUUUCAUCCAUUUAAAGCUUAGAUAAAAGAUCUACACAUUUGAAUGAACUUUUUUAAUAAGAACCAUAAUUAACAGUGAUGAGUGUCGGUAUAUAAUUCUGAUAUGUUACAUUUUAGAACAGAAGGUAUAAAGUUAGUACCAUCAGGGUACCAGUAUUUAUAUUUGACAUUCCACAUUGUAAAUAGCUUAGUUUUCCACCAUGUAUGAAAGAUCCGUCCAUAGUAUCUUAAUGUCAUGAGUGACUGUUUCUUUGUUUUGUCUUUCUACAUUAAAUGUCUUUUAUGUCAA